RNAcentral lists this long non-coding RNA (669 nucleotides) under Callithrix jacchus (white-tufted-ear marmoset). Its description in RNAcentral is "lncRNA (ENSCJAG00000084874.1)". The record is from RNAcentral. Lineage: Eukaryota; Metazoa; Chordata; Mammalia; Primates; Cebidae.
GUAAUUUUAACGGUGCUGUGUUACCAAGAUAUCCUUGGCUUCAAGUCAGGCCCUUCGGCAGCUACUGGGUCUGAGACACUCUCUGCUGUUUGAAGCGUACUGUCUCCAUGUUAUGGACAAUACCCUGCAGCUCUAGCAAUGCCAAGUCUCGAGAAUGCCUCCUGGUUUCUACUUUAUCUACUAUCCCUGGUGUAAGAAAGUGUCAACCUCAACAUCACCGCACAAAGUAGAGGCGAUGCGAACGUGACAUCCUUGCUGCCCUGGAGGGUUACCUUUGCUUUUCAGAAGCAUGUACAGCCUUUCCCUAUGCUCACAGGUCGCACCAAAACAGGCAGUGAACCAGAUUUGGCCCUCAGCCUGCAGACACCUCGGGGGAGCCCAAGAGGGGGACGUGGAGAGCAGCGCUCAGCAGGGCUGAAAGGCCUGAAAAGAUGAAGACUAAAUAUGACGCAGUGCUGAGGGUCUGAGACACUGACGGAUGAAAGAGAAACUCAGGAGCUCGCCUUCUUCCUGCAAUAGAUGCUGCAGAUUGAAACGGCCAUUUUGCAAACUAACAAAAGCUACACAAACCUGAGGCAUUCUAUUACAGUUGUCUGUGAUCUUAUCAGAUGUUAAUUUGGGGGCCAGAGAAAAGAGUAUCUAAGUUACCUAACCUGCAUGUAAGAAAAA